RNAcentral lists this ribosomal RNA (113 nucleotides) under Staphylococcus aureus. RNAcentral describes it as "partial 16S ribosomal RNA". It matches the Rfam family "Bacterial small subunit ribosomal RNA", at positions 1 to 108 of the family's 1533-position model. The record is from RNAcentral. Lineage: Bacteria; Bacillati; Bacillota; Bacilli; Caryophanales; Staphylococcaceae.
UUUAUGGAGAGUUUGAUCCUGGCUCAGGAUGAACGCUGGCGGCGUGCCUAAUACAUGCAAGUCGAGCGAACGGAUGAGAAGCUUGCUUCUCUGAUGUUAGCGGCGGACGGGUG